UACGGAGGGGGCGAGCGUUAUUCGGAAUUAUUGGGCGUAAAGGGCGCGUAGGCGGCCCGGUAAGUCAAAGGUGAAAUCCCUCGGCUCAACUGAGGAACUGCCUUUGAAACUGUCGGGCUUGAGGCCGGGAGGGGGUAGCGGAAUUCCCAGUGUAGCGGUGAAAUGCGUAGAUAUCUGGAGGAAUACCGGUGGCGAAGGCGGCAUCCUGGACCGGCAUUGACGCUGAGUGAGCGAAAGCCAGGGGAGCAAACAGG
RNAcentral lists this ribosomal RNA (254 nucleotides) under uncultured bacterium. Its description in RNAcentral is "partial 16S ribosomal RNA". It matches the Rfam family "Bacterial small subunit ribosomal RNA", at positions 524 to 776 of the family's 1533-position model. The record is from RNAcentral.